CCUACGGGGGGCAGCAGUGGGGAAUAUUGGACAAUGGGCGAAAGCCUGAUCCAGCAAUGCCGCGUGAGUGAUGAAGGCCUUAGGGUUGUAAAGCUCUUUUACCAGGGAUGAUAAUGACAGUACCUGGAGAAUAAGCUCCGGCUAACUCCGUGCCAGCAGCCGCGGUAAUACGGAGGGAGCUAGCGUUGUUCGGAAUUACUGGGCGUAAAGCGUGCGUAGGCGGUGAUUCAAGUCAGAGGUGAAAGCCUGGAGCUCAACUCCAGAACGGCCUUUGAAACUAGAUCGCUAGAAUUAUGGAGAGGUAAGUGGAAUUCCGAGUGUAGAGGUGAAAUUCGUAGAUAUUCGGAAGAACACCAGUGGCGAAGGCGACUUACUGGACAUAUAUUGACGCUGAGGUACGAAAGCGUGGGGAGCAAACAGGAUUAGAUACCCCAGUAGUC
This 440-nucleotide ribosomal RNA is filed under the name uncultured bacterium. RNAcentral's name for it is "bacterial SSU rRNA". It matches the Rfam family "Bacterial small subunit ribosomal RNA", at positions 338 to 795 of the family's 1533-position model. The record is from RNAcentral.